Molecule: long non-coding RNA, 1466 nt
Filed under: Marmota monax (woodchuck)
Lineage: Eukaryota; Metazoa; Chordata; Mammalia; Rodentia; Sciuridae
Source: RNAcentral
UCAAUUCCCAGUACCAUACACACAAAAAUCAUAUUACUAGUCCUGUAACUUGAUUAUGGUGAUAGUUUCUAAAGUCUAUAUGUGUGACAAAAUUGUAUAGAACUGUAAACAAAAAUGUGCAUGUAAAAACUGGUGAAUCUCAAAAAAAAAUGUACCUCAAUUAAUAAUAUUGUAUAAAUGUUAAUUUUCUGGUUUUUACAAUAUGCUAUGGUUAGGUAAUAUAUUAAUAUUAGGGAACAGUAAAUGAAAGGUACGAAGGUAAAGUGAACAAUUUUUCACUUCCUGUGAGCUUUACCAUUUCAAAAUAAGAUGAUAUUUUAAAAGUCCAUUAAAGAGAUAAACCAAUUGGAGAAGAAAAUAUAGAACUCCCAAAUUCCACCACCAAAAGGUAAUUUCUACUAAUUUUGAUGAGCAUUUUCCUGAUAUCUCUGUAUUUGUUGAUCACCUCUUACAUUUCAGGAAUUCUUUUGUAUGUAUUCUUAUCAGUUUCUCACAAUAGCCCUCUGUAUUAGAUACUGUUCUUAUCCUCAUUUUAUAUAUAAAGAAACCAUAUCUCAGAAAGAUGAGAUAACUAGCUGGAUAACUUUCAUAACUUGUAUGCCAGCUAAGAUCUGAUGCCUAAAGCUAACUCUUUUUCCUGACUAUAUUAGUUCUUUGAAUUGAGUCCACUUUAAUCAAAUCCAGCCUGUUUUGUAGGCACUAAAAUGUGAACUUCCUGAAUGUUGGACUUCCUAUUCUAGUGAGCUACCUUAAUGGCUUCCAUCACGUUGAUUAUGCACUAAAACUGCUUGCUCAGUUUUCAAGUCUAGUCUCAUAACUUCCAAACACUCCACAUUUAUUUUAUUUUCUGCUGAGUUUUAUUUUUAUUUUCUAAAUUCUUCCUGUUUCUUCUUUCCAUAUAAGAUAGAUGCCAAGAACUCUCUCCACUUAUAGAAUUUUGCUACUAGCAUAUUUCCCAUUGGGUUGCAGAUUUAUAAGUUUUAAUUUUGUCUUUUUAAAAAAUAUAUUUUAGUUGUAGGUGGCUACAAUACCUUUAUUGUAUUUAUUUUUACGUGGUGCUGAGGAUUGAACCCAGUGCCUCACAUGUGCUAGGCAAGCCUCUACCACUGAGCCCCAACCCCAGCCCUUAACUUUGUCUUAUUUAAACUUUUCUGACUUUCUGUAAAUAUUACCAAAGUGAUUUUAUCUGAAAAUUAUAUAACUAGCUACACAUAACCCAUCCCACUUUCCUGUUUGUAUUCCUCUCAAGCAUGCCAUCGGUUUCUAUAAGAGAGGUGUGGCAGGCUGCGUACAAGAACAGCCUUUACUUGCCCCACCAUCACUUCAAUUUCUUGCUUUACACAUCUAUUGCCAUAUAAUAUCUUCUUCUAUUUCCUCAAUACAUCUGGCAUUUCAUUUCUCUGCAAGAGUUUGGAGAAAAAAAAUCAUAUAUUACAGCUUUUUUUUUUGAUCCAGACACAUUUCAU